RNAcentral lists this ribosomal RNA (495 nucleotides) under uncultured bacterium. RNAcentral describes it as "partial 16S ribosomal RNA". It matches the Rfam family "Bacterial small subunit ribosomal RNA", at positions 28 to 507 of the family's 1533-position model. The record is from RNAcentral.
GACGAACGCUGGCGGCGUGCCUAAUACAUGCAAGUAGAACGCUGAAGGAGGAGCUUGCUUCUCUGGAUGAGUUGCGAACGGGUGAGUAGCGCGUAGGUAACCUGCCUGGUAGCGGGGGAUAACUAUUGGAAACGAUAGCUAAUACCGCAUAAUAGUAGAUGUUGCAUGACAUUUGCUUAAAAGGUGCAAUUGCAUCACUACCAGAUGGACCUGCGUUGUAUUAGCUAGUUGGUGAGGUAACGGCUCACCAAGGCGACGAUACAUAGCCGACCUGAGAGGGUGAUCGGCCACACUGGGACUGAGACACGGCCCAGACUCCUACGGGAGGCAGCAGUAGGGAUUCUUCGGCAAUGGACGGAAGUCUGACCGAGCAACGCCGCGUGAGUGAAGAAGGUUUUCGGAUCGUAAAGCUCUGUUGUAAGAGAAGAACGAGUGUGAGAGUGGAAAGUUCACACUGUGACGGUAUCUUACCAGAAAGGGACGGCUAACUACGUG